This 468-nucleotide ribosomal RNA is filed under the name uncultured bacterium. RNAcentral's name for it is "partial 16S ribosomal RNA". It matches the Rfam family "Bacterial small subunit ribosomal RNA", at positions 28 to 507 of the family's 1533-position model. The record is from RNAcentral.
GACGAACGCUGGCGGCGUGCUUAACACAUGCAAGUCGAACGGAAAGGCCCUGCUUUUGUGGGGUGCUCGAGUGGCGAACGGGUGAGUAACACGUGAGUAACCUGCCCUUGACUUUGGGAUAACUUCAGGAAACUGGGGCUAAUACCGGAUAGGAGCUCCUGCUGCAUGGUGGGGGUUGGAAAGUUUCGGCGGUUGGGGAUGGACUCGCGGCUUAGCAGCUUGUUGGUGGGGUAGUGGCUUACCAAGGCUUUGACGGGUAGCCGGCCUGAGAGGGUGACCGGCCACAUUGGGACUGAGAUACGGCCCAGACUCGUACGGGAGGCAGCAGUGGGGAAUAUUGCACAAUGGGAGGAAGCCUGAUGCAGCAGCGCCGCGUGCGGGAUGACGGCCUUCGGGUUGUAAACCGCUUUCGCCUGUGACGAAGCGUGAGUGACGGUAAUGGGUAAAGAAGCACCGGCUAACUACGUG